Oncorhynchus tshawytscha (Chinook salmon) is the source of this 1159-nucleotide long non-coding RNA. Lineage: Eukaryota; Metazoa; Chordata; Actinopteri; Salmoniformes; Salmonidae. The record is from Ensembl.
AUGAUGGCAUCUCAGGUAAGCAGCACUGGGCGUUCUUCCAUCCAUCUUUUACAUAGCUAGUAGUUAGUUCCUAUGAUUCAUUGUUGGUUCAUAACAUUCUACUAUAUUACAUACAUACAUACAUACAUACAUACAUACAUACAUACAUACAUACAUACAUACAUACAUACAUACAUACAUACAUACAUACAUACAUACAUACAUACCGUAGAAUGAUAAAUUAUGCAAUUAUUAUUCUCAAGCUAACCAAAAGCAUUUAGCUACGAUUGCCUGUUCUCGCCAUUUUCAGUUGAAUUAAUCAAAUUUUCUUUCAUGGCAACUCAUAUUUGUUUCAUAGUCGAUAUAUAAUCAUAUUUCAUGACAGUGUAACGGUUAGCUUUUUUACAGAAGGAUGAAAGAACACAAUAUGUCUGUCACGAAGAGUUAGGGAGUCUUUGCAGCGUGUAGAUGGUGCAGGUAUCAUUGCAUAUUUCCCAUCACACAAUGAACAACCACAAUAGCAGUCUGGUGUUAAGCUUUCUGUUCUGUAUUGACGUAUCCUGAAAAUGACAUCUGCUGCUUUAGAUUGAACGGUCAUUUCUCAGUUAUUGUUUUCAUAUCUACAAAAAAUAAGAUAUUUUCUUUACUUUCAGAGAGUGAGCUGAUCAAGGGGUCAAAAAUGUAGUUAUUGCCAGAUGUUCACUGUCUGAGGAACAGGCAGUGGAAGCUUUAUUGCUGGCAAAAGUGUCCAUAACCAGAGGUUAUAUCAGCUGCUUUGGUGAACCCCUCCCGCAUCUGAACUGGCUGACACAGAGGGCACAGCAUGUUCAUAAGUGAGAGGUCACUUGGUCGGGUCAACAGAAAGUAUUAUUAAAGAGAUGCUUUACUUUGAAAUACAGACAGAGAUGUAGUAGUCGCAGAGUUAAUGAUCCAAGGUAUGUUUUGAUGUGAGAGAGGAAGCCAGUCCCGUCAUCGCUACCUCACCCGCUCUUAAGGUAACCUUCGGGCCAACUGGGGGCCCAAGGCUGGUUAGGAGACACCGCAAUUGUGAUGAACUGAGAGAAUAUUAGGGUAGCACUGUAAUUCAUUAAUCAUAUGCUGUCUGCCACUGUUCUUACCUCUUUACCUCUGUCUUCUACACCUCUCCCCCCACUUUCUUUCUUCCUCAUCUUAUUUAUAA